UACGUAGGGGGCUAGCGUUGUCCGGAUUUAUUGGGCGUAAAGAGCGUGUAGGCGGCCAUGUAGGUCCGGUGUGAAAACUCGAGGCUUAACCUCGAGAUGUCAUCGGAAACCAUUUGACUAGAGUCCGGAAGAGGAGAGUGGAAUUCCUGGUGUAGCGGUGAAAUGCGCAGAUAUCAGGAAGAACACCAAUGGCGAAAGCAGCUCUCUGGGACGGUACUGACGCUGAGACGCGAAAGCGUGGGGAGCGAACAGG
Molecule: ribosomal RNA, 253 nt
Filed under: uncultured bacterium
Lineage: Bacteria
Description: partial 16S ribosomal RNA
Rfam family: Bacterial small subunit ribosomal RNA
Source: RNAcentral